GAUGAACGCUGGCGGCGUGCCUAAUACAUGCAAGUCGAGCGAACAGAUGAGGAGCUUGCUCCUCUGACGUUAGCGGCGGACGGGUGAGUAACACGUGGAUAACCUACCUAUAAGACUGGGAUAGCUUCGGGAAACCGGAGCUAAUACCGGAUAAUAUAUUGAACCGCAUGGUUCAAUAGUGAAAGACGGUUUUGCUGUCACUUAUAGAUGGAUCCGCGCCGCAUUAGCUAGUUGGUAAGGUAACGGCUUACCAAGGCAACGAUGCGUAGCCGACCUGAGAGGGUGAUCGGCCACACUGGAACUGAGACACGGUCCAGACUCCUACGGGAGGCAGCAGUAGGGAAUCUUCCGCAAUGGGCGAAAGCUUGACGGAGCAACGCCGCGUGAGUGAUGAAGGUCUUCGGAUCGUAAAACUCUGUUAUUAGGGAAGAACAAAUGUGUAAGUAACUAUGCACGUCUUGACGGUACCUAAUCAGAAAGCCACGGCUAACUACGUG
Molecule: ribosomal RNA, 497 nt
Filed under: uncultured bacterium
Lineage: Bacteria
Description: partial 16S ribosomal RNA
Rfam family: Bacterial small subunit ribosomal RNA
Source: RNAcentral